UGUGAGGGGAGUGAAAUAGAACCUGAAACCGUGUACGUACAAGCAGUAGGAGCACCUUCGUGGUGUGACUGCGUACCUUUUGUAUAAUGGGUCAGCGACUUAUAUUCAGUGGCAAGGUUAACCGUAUAGGGGAGCCGUAGCGAAAGCGAGUCUUAACUGGGCGCUCAGUCUCUGGAUAUAGACCCGAAACCGGGUGAUCUAGCCAUGGGCAGGUUGAAGGUUGAGUAACAUCAACUGGAGGACCGAACCGACUAAUGUUGAAAAAUUAGCGGAUGACUUGUGGCUAGGGGUGAAAGGCCAAUCAAACUCGGAGAUAGCUGGUUCUCCCCGAAAGCUAUUUAGGUAGCGCCUCGGACGAAUACUACUGGGGGUAGAGCACUGUUAAGGCUAGGGGGUCAUCCCGACUUACCAACCCUUUGCAAACUCCGAAUACCAGUAAGUACUAUCCGGGAGACACACGGCGGGUGCUAACGUCCGUCGUGGAGAGGGAAACAACCCAGACCGCCAGCUAAGGUCCCAAAGUAUUGCUAAGUGGGAAACGAUGUGGGAAGGCUCAGACAGCUAGGAUGUUGGCUUAGAAGCAGCCAUCAUUUAAAGAAAGCGUAAUAGCUCACUAGUCGAGUCGGCCUGCGCGGAAGAUGUAACGGGGCUAAGCAAUACACCGAAGCUGCGGCAAUGUCUUUUAGACAUUGGGUAGGGGAGCGUUCUGUAAGCCGUUGAAGGUGAAUCGUAAGGUUUGCUGGAGGUAUCAGAAGUGCGAAUGCUGACAUGAGUAACGACAAAGGGGGUGAAAAACCUCCUCGCCGGAAGACCAAGGGUUCCUGUCCAACGUUAAUCGGGGCAGGGUGAGUCGACCCCUAAGGUGAGGCCGAAAGGCGUAAUCGAUGGGAAACGGGUUAAUAUUCCCGUACUUCUGACUAUUGCGAUGGGGGGACGGAGAAGGCUAGGUGGGCCAGGCGACGGUUGUCCUGGUUCAAGUGCGUAGGCUUGAGAGUUAGGUAAAUCCGGCUCUCUCUAAGGCUGAGACACGACGUCGAGCUACUACGGUAGUGAAGUCAUUGAUGCCAUGCUUCCAGGAAAAGCCUCUAAGCUUCAGAUAGUCAGGAAUCGUACCCCAAACCGACACAGGUGGUCGGGUAGAGAAUACCAAGGCGCUUGAGAGAACUCGGGUGAAGGAACUAGGCAAAAUGGUACCGUAACUUCGGGAGAAGGUACGCUCUUGAUGGUGAAGUCCCUCGCGGAUGGAGCUGACGAGAGUCGCAGAUACCAGGUGGCUGCAACUGUUUAUUAAAAACACAGCACUGUGCAAAAUCGCAAGAUGACGUAUACGGUGUGACGCCUGCCCGGUGCCGGAAGGUUAAUUGAUGGGGUUAGCGCAAGCGAAGCUCUUGAUCGAAGCCCCGGUAAACGGCGGCCGUAACUAUAACGGUCCUAAGGUAGCGAAAUUCCUUGUCGGGUAAGUUCCGACCUGCACGAAUGGCGUAAUGAUGGCCACGCUGUCUCCACCCGAGACUCAGUGAAAUUGAAAUCGCUGUGAAGAUGCAGUGUACCCGCGGCUAGACGGAAAGACCCCGUGAACCUUUACUACAGCUUGGCACUGAACAUUGAACCUACAUGUGUAGGAUAGGUGGGAGGCUAUGAAGACGUGACGCCAGUUGCGUUGGAGCCGUCCUUGAAAUACCACCCUUGUAUGU
Molecule: ribosomal RNA, 1694 nt
Filed under: Vibrio cholerae
Lineage: Bacteria; Pseudomonadati; Pseudomonadota; Gammaproteobacteria; Vibrionales; Vibrionaceae
Also listed under: 1 other name
Description: partial 23S ribosomal RNA
Rfam family: Bacterial large subunit ribosomal RNA
Source: RNAcentral